UUCAUUGUAUGGCUCACCUUAAAUUGAUUAGCUGGACUUGUCUUGAGGACUGGUUUGACUUGGCGUAAUAAGUAUUUCGCUGAGGACAUCGUAAGAUGGCCAACUUCUUGACCACUGUCUGCUUUCUAACCCUGUUCUCUCCGGAGACGUUUUUCUAUACAUCUGGCCUCAAAUCAGGUAGGACUACCCGCUGAACUUAA
This 200-nucleotide unclassified non-coding RNA is filed under the name soil metagenome. RNAcentral describes it as "partial contains internal transcribed spacer 2 and large subunit ribosomal RNA". The record is from RNAcentral.